AUGACCUGAAAGGACUCACCUGGCAGAGGAAAUGCAAAUGCUCCCCGGGAGAGGAAGGUUGCUGUGUGUGAUGGUUCUAGAAGCCGCAGUGUGCAGCGCCCCACAUCCGGCAUUCUUUCCCGUGGAGACCGCGGUGGGGCUGUCUUCUCGCGAGAACAGCGGCGAUGCCCCUGCCCCGUGUCAGGGACCACCGUUCGGGUGCAGUAAUACCCAACAGACCAUGCAUAACUCUUCCCCAGGUGACAGACCUCUAAUGCACCUGACCCCAACAAAACAAACUUGGCUUCAGAUUUGCCCGUGGGCCUCAGUAAAUAUUUAACAGACUGUGUCCCCCCCCCCCCCCCUUUUCUUCCCUGCGGGUAACUGGGGCUGGUGCCAUAAAUCGCUGCUUCCCUUCCUGCCGUAAGCAGCCGCUUAGCUGACAAGACUCCGAUCCUGACUUCCUGGUGCGAUGCCACUCCUGGGCUGGCAGCUCUUGGUAGUUUCGCUGGAAACCGAGGAGGAAAGAUGGGCCUGAUCUUUUGACCAGAAAGGAAUUAAAAAGAAGGUCCCUCAUGAUGGUUGCACCUGUCAGCUGCAAGGAGCUUCCUUUAAGGGUCUUCUGAGUCUGUGGGUAAACUCCAGAAGUUGGUGAUGGACAAGGAGGCCUGGUGUGCUGCAGUCCAUGGGGUUGCAAAGAGUAGGACACGACUGAGCGACUGAAUUGAACUGAGUCUUGUGGAUGUACAGCGAUUCUCAGCCGCCUUCAUGGGGACUGAUGCUGGUGGAAGCAGGCUCUCCAGAGACACACACCAGCCACAUUUCUGGAUGCUCAUGGUGGUUUUAGGAGGGCCCUGGCUGAGCACCUCCUGGAUUCCUGCAGCCUGGAUGAAGAUGGGAGACAGAGGACCGAUGCUUCCUGCCUUUCUCACUGACGGGAACUUGGAGCUCUGCCAGCUCCCCCGGGGGCUGCCUCUGAAAUAAUCUUGUUACACCUGGGAUUUUGGUGCCUUUAAUCUGAGAAAAAGUACAUAUCCAUUCAAUAAUCCAAAAGGACUUGAAAACUGUUCUUCUCUGAACUAAAGCUAGAAUGUCAUGGGAUUUAAAGAAUCAAGGCUGAGCAGUGAUGUGAAGCGUUCUGAGGUCCCGUGGAAGAUCUGCCUCUCUCCAGCCUUGGGUUCUCUGCAUUCUUGAGCAUCUCAGGGUCCAGAAGAAAAAGAAGAAAGCCUACCAGUUCUGGGAGCAGUUUGGAUGAGGAGAGCUACAAUACAUUUCAAGAGAAUCAGCCACCUGCCUCCGAGAUUAUGCCGGACCUUUGGACGGAAUCACGUGAAAUGCUGAGGACUGCCAGAGGAAACUGACCAUCUGUGUCUGUAGAAGCUGGGCAAGUGCAUUUGGCUCCCAGAGUCCCACAGGACUGGAUAGGGGGUGAUGUUAGAGCCAGUGUCACCUCUGCCUGGAGCUGCUUGAGUUUCCGUGGGCAGGUCAUUUCCUCUCGCUGUACCUUACUUUUCUCGUCUGUAUAGUGGGCUCAGUGAGUGUCCUUCAGCUCUCAGAGUCUGAACAACAGGGUUUAGGUAGUGCCACCAGAUUGACAUAAAGAACAUAUUAGCUUACAUGCUGUUUUGUGUCAGAGUAGGAAAGGGGAUAUUUAAAACUAUAUUUAAAUGUCUGUUUUAAUUAACUAAAUAUAUUUCAUUAUAUUUUAAUUUAAAGAUAUAAAAUUUUAAAGUAGAGAUUUGUCCCAGAGCUCUUAA
Long non-coding RNA from Budorcas taxicolor (takin), 1736 nucleotides. RefSeq lists it as uncharacterized. Lineage: Eukaryota; Metazoa; Chordata; Mammalia; Artiodactyla; Bovidae. The transcript has 5 exons. The record is from RefSeq and is a predicted model, not a curated record.